AGUGUUUAUAGAACAGUCUGUUAAAACAGUGAUCCAGUGUCAAACUGGAAUUAUGAUAUUUUCCGGUUAACAUUCCAAACCUCUGAAGCUCUAAUUAUAACAUACAAUAGACACUACAUUAUGAUUCAUAAAGGACAUGCAGCUUGUCUGAAUUACAAUUUGCAGGCAAGUCAAAGUGUCUUCUGCAAUAUAACAAAUACAUUCGGCAAAAAUGUUCACCCGAAAAGGACAUCAGGGUCUUUUAAAUGAUCAAGAAUGGAGCAGAGAGAGAUGUUCUCUCAUUGGUUAACAUACAGCAUUGUGGACACACCCUGCACAAAACACACACAAUCCCAGUAUAUCUAGACACACUACUGCACGAAUGGAGACAGACUUAAGUCUUCAAUGCAGAGGAAAGAUGCUUCUUGGAUCUGGUGCUGUGUUUUUCUUGCUCAUUCUAGGGGUUGCGGCACAGUCCAAAGUGUCUCAGGACCAAAUUUCCAUCACAAAGAGCAAAGACAAAAGCAUCGCCAUCUCCUGUGAAACCUCUAGCUUGGGCUCAAGUACUUACAUCCAUUGGUACCAGAAGAAAGAGGGUGAACCCUUUAAAAGGAUUUCCUACAUCAAAAAUGACGGUACAGCUUCAACCCGGGAUCCAGCCCAUCCUCAGAACCGCGACUUCAACGCUUACAAGAAUGGUGAUCGUCAGUACCUGAAGAUCUCUGCUGUAAAACCUGAGCACAGUGGCACCUAUUACUGUGCCUACUGGAAAUACCACAGCAGCACAGAGACCCUGAACCACAGUACAAAAACCGCCAGAAGGCUCAGGUUCCACUUCUACAGCAACAAACCUGACAAGCACAUUCUGAAAUUAUUAACAUCUAUCAAAAACAAUGUCAAAUUAAUAUUUUGCAAGACCACAUACAUAAAACAAAGUUAUAUUUGUGAAGCAAUGUAUUAA
Molecule: non-coding RNA, 940 nt
Organism: Scleropages formosus (Asian bonytongue)
Lineage: Eukaryota; Metazoa; Chordata; Actinopteri; Osteoglossiformes; Osteoglossidae
Source: the annotation of a RefSeq genome assembly